AGGGCCCGUCUACGCAGAAGGGCAAAUCCAUACUGGAGCAAAUACAAGAAAUGCACAACAGUCAUUAACUAGAGGCCUCAACCAGGUGACAACGAACACUCAUGGGUGGGCCCAAAACUGAGGCUGAAGAUGGCCUUCUUCUGCAACUCCCAGUUGGGAAAAGGUGACAAAGUGAAAACAUACCUGAAUUUGAUCUAUAGAAUCAAUAAUGAUGAUGAUGCUGCCUUGAUGACGAGCAGAGAGUUUUUCCAGCCAACGUGGGAAUUCUUCCAGAAGCUUAGCAGGAUCCAGUGUCA
Sus scrofa (pig) is the source of this 296-nucleotide long non-coding RNA. RefSeq lists it as uncharacterized. The record is from RefSeq and is a predicted model, not a curated record. NCBI's taxonomy places the organism in Eukaryota, Metazoa, Chordata, Mammalia, Artiodactyla, Suidae.